This 331-nucleotide ribosomal RNA is filed under the name uncultured bacterium. RNAcentral describes it as "bacterial SSU rRNA". It matches the Rfam family "Bacterial small subunit ribosomal RNA", at positions 30 to 361 of the family's 1533-position model. The record is from RNAcentral.
AUUGAACGCUGGCGGCAUGCCUUACACAUGCAAGUCGAACGGCAGCGGACCUUCGGGUGCCGGCGAGUGGCGAACGGGUGAGUAAUAUAUCGGAACGUACCUUUCAGUGGGGGAGUAACGUAGCGAAAGUUACGCUAAUACCGCAUAUUCUGUGAGCAGGAAAGCAGGGGAUCGCAAGACCUUGCGCUGAUUGAGCGGCCGAUAUCAGAUUAGCUAGUUGGUGAGGUAAAGGACUCACCAAGGCGACGAUCUGUAGCGGGUCUGAGAGGAUGAUCCGCCACACUGGAACUGAGACACGGUCCAGACUCCUACGGGAGGCAGCAGUGGGGAA